This 538-nucleotide ribosomal RNA is filed under the name Pterotolithus maculatus. RNAcentral describes it as "partial large subunit ribosomal RNA". It matches the Rfam family "Bacterial large subunit ribosomal RNA", at positions 1843 to 2578 of the family's 2925-position model. The record is from RNAcentral. Lineage: Eukaryota; Metazoa; Chordata; Actinopteri; Sciaenidae.
GAAUAAGAGGUCCUGCCUGCCCCGUGACCAUGAGUUUAACGGCCGCGGUAUUUUGACCGUGCAAAGGUAGCGCAAUCACUUGUCUUUUAAAUAAAGACCCGUAUGAACGGCAAGACGAGGGCUUGACUGUCUCCUUUUUCAAGUCAAUGAAAUUGAUCUUCCCGUGCAGAAGCGGGAAUUUUUACAUAAGACGAGAAGACCCUAUGGAGCUUUAGACACCAAGACAGACCACGUCAAACCCCCUAACAAAGAAUUAAACUAACUGAAUCCUGUCCUAAUGUCUUUGGUUGGGGCGACCACGGGGAACCACAAAACCCCCGCGUGGAUUGAGAACACUUCUAUUCCCACAACUAAGAGCUUCUGCUCUAAUUAACAGAAAUUCUGACCAGUAAUGACCCGGCAACGCCGAUCAACGAACCGAGUUACCCUAGGGAUAACAGCGCAAUCCUCUUUCAGAGCCCAUAUCGACAAGAGGGUUUACGACCUCGAUGUUGGAUCAGGACAUCCUAAUGGUGCAGCCGCUAUUAAGGGUUCGUUU